UUGACUGUAAUUGCCUUGACUCUACUAUCAUGUGAUGCAUAGAGUGUCCAAGGACAACCAUCUGCCCUCAUCCUCUUCCUCUCAUUACUUGGUAUUUUUAUCUCAACUCUAUUCUUCAUACUAUACUUUGUAAAAGCAGAUCUCAGUUUCUCUGUUAUCUCAAAAACCAUUCCUACCUUGAAAACAGGGUUACUCAAGUCUUCUUGCCUGUUGGGUAAUAGCAACUCCUCAUCAUCAUCAGUAGAUAACUCUUCUGUCAUAGCAAAUCCAUCCACCUUCAACCUACUUUCCUUGGCCUUCUUCACCUUUCCAGUAUUAUUGGCACUACCUAUUCCUUCAUCCACCACAUCCUCAUCCACGUGAUCCACAAAUAAAUCAUCAUUACCAUCAUCAAGUUCAUUUUCACUAUCCUAGAAAUCUAAAUCUUCACUAUCUUCCUCGUUACUGUCAGAUUCUCCAAUCGAAUUACUUCUCUGCUCCUUCGCUGGACUUAGAUUCUUAUAAAAGUAUGGUAGCUUCUCUCCAUCUUUCUUCUCCCUGUACUGCACCUUGACAUUGACAGGGCUCACCACCUUUGGAAGCUGUGCAAUUAGGUUCAAUAUGAUAUGAUCCCAAGGAGCAUUGAUAACAAUAUCAUCAUGAUCAAAAUAGACAACCAGGUUCUUAAUCCUACCCACAACUGAACACAUGGCAUUGGUGUCUACAUCACCUUGUAUGACUCUCAGGGCAUCAACCAAUUCCUUUCCUAGUAGGUAGCCAAUAAUACUUCAAAUUUGGUGUCUUUGGGUAUUGUAGCUCCAUGAGCAUGUCAUGUAUCCACUAUGUCGACCAAGUAUCAACUUCACAGUGAUCAUACCAACUAACUUUUCCAUCUACAUAACUCCUCAAAUGCCCAAAACCAACGAAGAAUCCACCAUGGUGAACCUGUACUGUGAACUCAUCAGGAUUGUACCUACGAUCAAGAACAAACCAAUGGAAACAACAAAUUAGACUAAAAUUAAGCUAGCAUUUGACACCAACAGAACCUCAACAGAAUCCUAAAUCCCAUCGAGAUUACCCUAAAUUGGACAAUUCCAACCCAAAACUCGAAUUUUCUCCUAGGUGCAUGCACUAAUUCUAC
This 1120-nucleotide long non-coding RNA is filed under the name Setaria viridis. RNAcentral's name for it is "long non-coding RNA (SVIR_LNC002365)". Lineage: Eukaryota; Viridiplantae; Streptophyta; Magnoliopsida; Poales; Poaceae. The record is from RNAcentral.